UCAGAAUGAUGAUGUUUACCCAUAUAUUCGCAGUUUCCACCAAAGUGAUGCUUUGUCAUUUCGAUGAUGGUUAAUCUUCCUUGGAUGUCUGACUGA
Molecule: non-coding RNA, 96 nt
Organism: Paramuricea clavata
Lineage: Eukaryota; Metazoa; Cnidaria; Anthozoa; Malacalcyonacea; Plexauridae
Source: the annotation of a GenBank genome assembly